UCUCCGAGACCCCACAAACCGCCUAAACAUCCCGUCAAACCGCCUAAACCACCAGCAGCCAAACCACCAAAACCACCGGCAGUAAAACCUCCUAAACCCCCCACCAAACCUCCCACCCUUAAACCACACCCCCACCCUAAACCUCCCACCGUUAGACCACAUCCACACCCUAAGCCCCCUACCAAACCUCAUCCCAUCCCAAAACCGCCCACCGUUAAACCACCACCCUCCACACCCAAACCGCCCACAAAACCACCCACCGUUAAACCACCUCCAUCCACCCCUAAGCCGCCCACCAAACCACCCACCGUCAAACCACCACCCUCCACCCCAAAACCGCCCACCAAGCCACCCACCGUCAAACCACCUCCGUCCACCCCUAAACCACCUACCCACAAGCCACCAACAGUGUGCCCACCGCCAACACCAACACCAACCCCACCUGUUGUAACGCCACCAACACCACCAACACCAACUCCACCAGUCGUUACGCCACCAACACCAGCCCCACCUGUUGUAACGCCACCAACACCAACACCACCGGUCGUAACGCCACCGACACCAACCCCUCCUGUCGUAACACCUCCAACACCACCGGUCGUAACGCCACCGACACCAACUCCUCCUGUCGUAACACCACCAACACCACCGGUCGUAACGCCACCGACACCAACCCCUCCUGUCGUAACACCUCCAACACCACCGGUCGUAACGCCACCGACACCAACCCCUCCUGUCGUAACACCACCAACACCAACUCCACCUAAGCCAGAAACGUGCCCAAUCGACACGUUGAAGCUAGGCGCUUGUGUAGACGUUCUUGGAGGUUUAAUUCACAUCGGGCUUGGUGGAAGUAGCGCCAAGAAAGAGUGUUGUCCGGUUUUGGGAGG
RNAcentral lists this long non-coding RNA (890 nucleotides) under Brassica rapa (field mustard). RNAcentral describes it as "long non-coding RNA (BRAP_LNC003747)". The record is from RNAcentral. Lineage: Eukaryota; Viridiplantae; Streptophyta; Magnoliopsida; Brassicales; Brassicaceae.